Molecule: ribosomal RNA, 425 nt
Filed under: uncultured bacterium
Lineage: Bacteria
Description: bacterial SSU rRNA
Rfam family: Bacterial small subunit ribosomal RNA
Source: RNAcentral
GUGGGGAAUAUUGGACAAUGGGCGCAAGCCUGAUCCAGCCAUGCCGCGUGAGUGAUGAAGGCCCUAGGGUUGUAAAGCUCUUUUGUGCGGGAAGAUAAUGACGGUACCGCAAGAAUAAGCCCCGGCUAACUUCGUGCCAGCAGCCGCGGUAAUACGAAGGGGGCUAGCGUUGCUCGGAAUCACUGGGCGUAAAGGGUGCGUAGGCGGGUCUUUAAGUCAGGGGUGAAAUCCUGGAGCUCAACUCCAGAACUGCCUUUGAUACUGAGGAUCUUGAGUUCGGGAGAGGUGAGUGGAACUGCGAGUGUAGAGGUGAAAUUCGUAGAUAUUCGCAAGAACACCAGUGGCGAAGGCGGCUCACUGGCCCGAUACUGACGCUGAGGCACGAAAGCGUGGGGAGCAAACAGGAUUAGAUACCCUAGUAGUCC